GUUUUCCCAAAGGUGUCUGCAGCAUUGUGACGUAUUUGUAGGCAUAUCAUUGGAAGAUUGACCAUAAGAGACUACAUUUACCAGGUGGUCGCUUGGUGUCCUCCGUCGCAAUUAUUGCGUAAUCUCCAGCUGCAGUAUUUUUCCGUUUGUCUCUGAUGACAAACCGACUGCCAGGAAUGAUUUUUCAUCUAAUAGAAUUGUGAAAAACACCUUGAGGAUUGAUUCUAAACAACGUUUGCCAUGUUUCUGUCAAUAUUAUGGAGCUAAUUUGGAAAAAAGUUUGGCGUUGUAAGUGACUGCAUUUUCGUUUUUUUUUUCCUUAGCCAAACGUGAUGAACAAAACGGAGCUAUUUCUCUUACACAAAUAAUCUUUUUGGAAAAAAUGAACAUUUGCUAUGUAUCUGAGAGUCUCGUCAUUGAAAACAUCCAAAGUUCUUCAAAGGUGGCAGACAUCUCAGCUCGGAUGUUGGCCCACCACCUCAAGCUCAAACUCAACAUGACGGAGCUGCACUUCCUCCCGGGGAAAGCCUAUCUGCUCCAAGACCUCUCCAACAAGGUAGACAACUACACGGCGUCCCCCUCCCAGAGUGAAAAGAACCUUGACGUGACCCUGGACAACACCCUGUCAUUCUCUGC
Long non-coding RNA from Oncorhynchus tshawytscha (Chinook salmon), 636 nucleotides. The record is from Ensembl. Lineage: Eukaryota; Metazoa; Chordata; Actinopteri; Salmoniformes; Salmonidae.